This 465-nucleotide ribosomal RNA is filed under the name uncultured Veillonellaceae bacterium. RNAcentral's name for it is "bacterial SSU rRNA". It matches the Rfam family "Bacterial small subunit ribosomal RNA", at positions 338 to 795 of the family's 1533-position model. Lineage: Bacteria; Bacillati; Bacillota; Negativicutes; Veillonellales; Veillonellaceae. The record is from RNAcentral.
CCUACGGGGGGCUGCAGUGGGGAAUCUUCCGCAAUGGACGAAAGUCUGACGGAGCAACGCCGCGUGAGUGAAGAAGGUUUUCGGAUCGUAAAGCUCUGUUGUUUGAGACGAAUGUGCAGACUUUGAAUAAGGGUUUGUAAUGACGGUAUUAAACGAGAAAGCCACGGCUAACUACGUGCCAGCAGCCGCGGUAAUACGUAGGUGGCAAGCGUUGUCCGGAAUUAUUGGGCGUAAAGGGAGCGCAGGUGGGAAUGUAAGUCAGUCUUAAAAGUGCGGGGCUCAACCCCGUGAGGGGAUUGAAACUACAUUUCUUGAGUGCAGGAGAGGAAAGUGGAAUUCCUAGUGUAGCGGUGAAAUGCGUAGAGAUUAGGAGGAACACCAGUGGCGAAGGCGACUUUCUGGACUGUAACUGACACUGAGGCUCGAAAGCCAGGGGAGCGAACGGGAUUAGAUACCCCGGUAGUC